Molecule: long non-coding RNA, 18303 nt
Filed under: Brassica rapa (field mustard)
Lineage: Eukaryota; Viridiplantae; Streptophyta; Magnoliopsida; Brassicales; Brassicaceae
Description: long non-coding RNA (BRAP_LNC006596)
Source: RNAcentral
UCGAUUACGAUUCUAGUGCAGUAAAGCUGAUCAAGGAACUGGGAACUAAUUAAAAACAACUUGUCUGACUCAUAAGAAGCAACGCUUCAAAUUUUAGGUAAAACAAAGUGCUAAAUGCUUGCCUUAACUUUAUUUUAUUUUAUUUUUUACGGCAAACGGCUAUUCUAUUACUCAAACUUGAGGUGGUUUGGGGAGCCAGACCGGAAUAGAACAACCAAUAAAACAUAAGGAUCUAUGAAAAGAACGUGCAUUCCUAGCUAAAGAGUCAGCAAUCUCAUUCUGCGUCCUUGGAAAGUAGCUGAUGUUGAAGUCCGAAAAACAUAACCGAAGAGUUUGAAUGAUUUCCAGCUCAGUUGAGAAGUUGGAUCAAUCUUGUGGUUGCUCUAACAUUGCAAUCAAAUCUUUGCAGUCCGUCCCAAACCUCUGACAGGUCGAGUGUUGAAUCAUACUCUCCAUUGCCCACUUUAGCGCUUCCAGUUCCGAGUGUAGAGCUGUCUCCCUCCUCUGCAAGUUCCUUGACCCCAUGAGCUGUAUCUUCCCCAAUGUAUCCUUCCAAACCCAUCAUAUUCCACUAAACUUAGCUGUGGAGGUCCAUGAACCAUCCACAAUACAAAUAUUAUUCAAACUUAAGGCUUGUGUUUCUUCAUUAGUUUGUACAUUUGGCAGAUUCGGUAUAGUAUCUCUUGUAUUAUACCAAGCUUGGCACUCUCCCUCUGCAUACCUAACUAGCUCCAGUGGGUCUGAUUUCUUAUAGUUUAUUCUAAUUUGAUAUUCUUGAGCUUCAGUUUUGAACCAGCAUAGGCGGGAUACUCUGUUCAUGUCUGAAGAAAUUAUUUGGAUCAACCUUUGUUUUAACCUUCACCAACCUUUCGAAAUUUCCUUUGAAGUAACUAGCUCCCCAGACUUGAGCUUGGUUGAUGGUCGACUUACAGCCCUUUUUGUUCUAUCCAAGGUCUAGAUCACGGUAGUUCACGUAGGCUUGUCGUGGAUUCGCCGAGACAUAAGGAGUCAUGAAACUGUAGAGAUCUCUGAUCCAUUUGAUGUGCCUGCUUGCUCUCCUGUCACUGAGGCCAAUUCGUUACGUACUGAAUCUUGAAUAUGACUCCUUUCCUAUGCGGAAAAUGGAUCUGUGAUUCAAGGAUUUUCGCCAUCAUUCCUCCGUAAGGAUUCCACAUCAUCAUCGGAUUAUCUUCUUUAAGCAACUUCUUGAAGAUCCCUUUAAGCCCUGACUCAGGAAUAGGCUUCUUCAUGAAAUCGGAUUUGGCUUUGAAGUUGUUCUUCGGGAAAGGAGAUUUCCCUUGAAGCAAUACCUUGGUAGGACUGCGGCUCGCGAAUCCAGAGAUGUAAACAAUGGAAUCAAGCCAGCUCAUUUCGGUACAAUCUUUCGGCGUUAGAUCUAGCUUCGGAAAGCUCUUGUUCAUAACUUUCUUCAACAUGCCUUUGUUGCCAAGAAACACAGCGUUAUAUGACGUCAUGGCGGUCUUGCUUCCGUUGUUUGCAGAUACGUUGAAGAUCACCCGGAUGAAUAGCUUGUCGACAAGCUUGUCCGCGACCAUUUGCCACUUUGAAAGAAUCUUGUUUCCAGGGUCUUGUUGUAACGUUUUGGUGACGGUGAAGACGGUUACCGUCUUAGGAACAGGAACAAGCUUGAUCUUCCAUUCUAGAAUUAUCCCGAAACUGCGUCCAGCGCCUCCUCGAAUCGCCCAAAACGUAUCCUCGCCCAUCGCUUUUCGGUCGAGUAUUUUACCGUUGGCGUCGACGAUCUUUGCGUCUAGAACGUUAUCUGCACCGAGACCGUAUUUCCUCAUCAUGGAACCAUAUGCACCGCCGGUUACGUGCCCGCCUAUUCCUAAACUGGAGCACAAACCGGCCGGAAAACCAUGUACUCUGCUCUUCUCUGCAAUCCUACAGGUAACAAAAAAAGUUUCUUGAUCAAAUAUACAGUCAAAAGAUAGAUCCUAGCGUCACAAUUCCAUUUUUGACUAAAUUUCGGAAUAAACUGCUCUUUAGAUGCGAUAAUUUCUUAGUAAUCUUUCUAUAAUAGCGAAAAUUUAUUUGCUGUCUUUUUAUUUACCUGUAACCGUAGCACUGUCUUUAAUAUUAAUGUUGACUUUUCUCAGCUUGGACAGGUCCAUCACUAUAAAAGGUUUUUCGAUCUCCGAGACAUAAGACAAGCCUUCGUAGUCGUGACCGCCGCUUCUGACGCGCACAUGAGUUCCAAGUUUCUUGGAACAGAUGAUGGAAGCUUGGACGUGAGACUCGUGGAGCGGUUUGAAUAUGAAUCCCGGUUUAGGCAUGGACUUUGUCAAGUACCUGAGAUUCUGAGCUGUCGACUGAAGGACUUCGCUGAACAUGGAAACGUUUUUGGCAGGAGCGAAAAACGUACUUUCGAGUGGGAAAGAAACAUGAAUUGAUCUUGGAGGGAAGCUGAAGAAGUUGUUGGUGUUAUGGUGUAGAAUGAGAAAUAUAAGGCGAAAAUCAAAAGAAAAGAAAAUGCAGGGGAUGGUUUUGAAAUUCCCAUUUCUCUCUUUAAGGAAGCUCUGCUCUAUUGUUUGAUCCCAAUCUGCAAAAAUUUAGUCUAUAACUAUAUGUAUUUUGACAAUAUUUUUUAAAGCAAUGUCAUUUUUAAGAUGAAAAGACAUUUUUUUAGGAUGAAAAGUUACAACUUUUGACAUUGAGAAAUAUACAUAUUUACACAUUUUGAUAACUUAUUUUUAACAAAUGCAAUUUUUAGGACCACAAGACACAUUUUUGUACAUUUAAAAAAAAAAAUUUAACCAAUGCAACUCUUAGAUGAAAAGAACAUUAUUAAGAAAAUAUAAAUUUAUACACUUUUAUAAAUAUGUUAUUUAAAUAAUGAAACUUUUAAAAUGAAAAGAUACAUUUUUAUAGUGAAAAGACACAACCUUUAACAUUAAUUUGGAUUUCUAUUAUUCAUAGACAGGAAAUGACUAUUUAUUUAAAUAUGUAUAUUUUCUACUAGUUUUAUAAGUUAUAUUUAAACAUAUAUGUGUAUAUAUAUAUAUAUGUAUAUAUAUUUUAAUAAAUUUCAGUUUUAUUUUAUUUUCAUUCAGAUAUGUUAAAUUGGUAAAAAUCAAUAUGUUAAUUUACUUAAUGAGCCGAUAAAUUUAAAUAAAAUUCUAGUCAACUCAUUAUAUAUCAACUAAAAAUAUAUUUGAUUAGUAUUGUUUUAGAUUUAUAUUUUUAGGGCACACUUUCAAAUAAUUUAAUAAUAUAUAUAUGUGUAUAUAUAACAACUUUUUAGAAACAUAAAUAAAAAGUCAAUUAUUACUAUAUUUUUUUUAAAUUGAAAAAAAUAAAAUUUUAAAAUAAAUUUACACUAAUGGCUGAUAUAUAAGUUAUUAAUUAUUACCUUAUUUAUAAAUCUUGAAUUAAACAUUUAUGAAAAGAAAUUAUACAUGUCACUAUCAAGUGAUGCCAUGUCAUAAUUUUUUAAACCGUGUUAUCUUUUUAGUGAAAAAAUGUGCUGAUGACGUAUGUCAUAAUCACUUCUUAAAUAAUGUAUAAGAGAUUUUUCGAGAUUGUCUGAAAUAAAGGAAGAAAAAGAAACAUUGUUCCAUUUAUUCGAGCUUGUUGUAUGAUGAUACUUAUUUAAAGAGUACUCCCUCCGUUCUUUAAUGAUAGACUUUUUAGAAGAAAAAAAAUUGUUUCAGAAAAAUGUAUUUUUUGUGUUUUCUAUGAAAAAAAUCGUAUUUUUUGUGUUUUCAAAAAAAUUAGUUGACUUUAUUGAAUUUUUUUUUUAUCGAAAAUUGAAAAUUACAGAAAAUGAUACAUUUUAUUAUGGUAGUUUAACGUGUUUUAUUAAUAUGUGUAAAAAUACUAAAAAGUUGGAACAGAGGGAGUAUUAUAUCACCAGCUUAGCUUCAGUAAAGAGAUGGGAUGCUUUGUUCGUGUCGGAAGAAGUUCUCUGGAUCAGAUUUUGUUUUAAUCUUCACCAAUCUGUUGAAAUUGUCUUUGAAGUACUUUGCUCCCCAGACUUGAGCUUGUUUGAGGCUUGUCUUUGAGUUGUUGCUGUUCUGUCCCAGGUCUAGAUCUCUGUAGUUCACAUAUGCCUGUCUUGGGUUACUUGAGACAUAAGGCGUCAUGUAAUUGUACAACUCCCUGAUCCAUUUGAUACGCAUGUCUGGUCUCUUCUCGGUGUCUGACCAGCUCCUGUAAUACAGAAUCAUGAAGCUGGUUCCGCUUCUAUGCGGAAACGGGAUCUCAGAUUCAGGGAUUUUAUCCAUCAUUCCACCGUAUGGAGUCCAUACCAUUAGCGCAGCUUCUUCUUCAAGAAUCUUCUUGAUCAUCCCUUUAAGACCUAAAAUAGGAAUAGGUUCUUUAGCAAAAUCGGAUUUGGCUUUGAAGUAAACUUCUCCCAUAGGUGACUUUGCUUGAAGCAAAACUUCAGGAGGAGGAGGAGUGCUUGUCGGGAAUCCAGAGUUGUAAAUAACGGAUUCGAUCCAGUUCACUUCUAUACAAUCCUCCUGAGUUAGUCCUAGUUCUGGAAAAUCCUUGUGCAUAACCUCCAUCAAGUUGCCUUUCUCGCCAAGAAACUGACCUAUGUAUGACAUCGCCACUGUCUUGUUUUCAUUGUUUCCAGCUAUGGUGAAGAACACGCGUAGGAGGAGAUCUUCAACAAGCUUGUCCGCAACUUGUUGCCACUUUGAAAGAAUCUUGAAUCCUGGGUCUUGGUCUAGUGUUUUGGUGACCGUGAAGACAGUUAGGGUUUGAGGAACUGGAACAAGCUUGAUCUUCCAUGACAAAAUUAUCCCGAAACUCCCUCCUGCGCCUCCUCUAAUCGCCCAAAACAUAUCCUCUCCCAUCGCGGUUCUGUCUAGUAACUUGCCGUUAGCAUCAACUAUCUUUGCGUCUAGAACAUUAUCAGCAGCAAGACCAUACUUUCUCAUCAAGGAACCGUAUGCACCGCCUGUUAUAUGCCCACCAAUGCCUAAGCUCGGGUAUAUACCAGCAGGACAUCCAUGAAUCUUGCUCUUCUCUGAAAUUCUACAGUUAACAAACAAAAGAUUCUAUAGUCAAAUAUUGUUUACUCUUGUGUGUGGUUACGUUUUGUCAUUGCAUAUUGUCAAGUCAAACAUAUAUAAGAGUUUUAAGUAUUUAGAAAACGUUAAAAUAACUCGUUCAAAAAAACGUUAAAUUAACAUAAUUCAACCUAUGUUUUAGUUAGACUUAGGGGGUGACUGGUUUUCCCGCUACCACCCGCAAACGCAGCUUUUGCGGUUGGUAGCGGUUGUCGGCGGUUUGCAACAAUCACUCAAAUCGCUCUAAACCGUUUCAAACCGCUCCGAAUCUCAUAAAUUCAAAAGCUGGCUCCAACUAGCGUUUGCGGUUGCGGGCGGUUGCGGGAGGGUAAAAAAUUUUUUCGCUUUUUUUAAAUAAUAUAUAUACAAAAGUAAAAAUAUUUAAUAAAAAUUUUAAAAUUGAAAUUAUGAAAAUAUUAAAAUAUAUCUAUUAUAUUUUAAUUAAUAUUAUAAAAUUUUAUAAUAAAAACAUUUUCAAUAAAUUUUCAAAAAUUAAAAUUAUAACUUUCUAAAUAUAAAUUUUAUAUUGAUUAUAAUUUUAUAAUUUUUGAUAUUUUUAUAAGUAUAUUAAAUGUAAAUAUUAUUAAUUUAUUAUUUGACAGAUACCGCAUUUGGUAGUUAACCAGUCAUAAGUCACCCGCAAACGCACCAAUUUUUAACCGCAGUACCAGUCGUACAAAUCUCUUAAAACCGCUAGAAACCGCAACCGCCCGCAUCCACAAACUCCCGCAACCGCAACCGCAACCACUGCGUUUGAACCAGUCAGGCCCUUAUUCUUGGGUUCACUCUCUAGGGUAAACCUGUAGGUUCACCAACCAAUAGGAUUAUGUUAUUUCAAAUUUGAUAUCUUUUAUAAAAGAAAACAAAAUAUUGUCAAGUUAUAUUAUGUUUUUAAAAUAAAAAGAUAAAAAUUAAAAAAAAAAUUGUAGUAAUUACAAAAAAUAUUUUUAACGUCGUCAGGAAAAAACUAAACCCUAAAUCCUAAUCCCUAAACCCUAAAUUCGAAACCCUAAACCCUUGGAUAAACCCUAAACCCUUGGAUAAAUCAAAAACACUAAACACUAAAACAUUCAAGGGUUUAGGAUUUUUGUGUUUAGUGUUUUUGAUUUAGAGUUUAUGAUUUAUUCAAGGGUUUAUGAUUUACCCAAGGGUUUAGGAUUUACCCAAGGGUUUAGGGUUUCGGAUUUAGGGUUUAGGAAUUAAGAUUUAGGGUUUAGGGAUUAGGAUUUAGGGUUUAGUGUUUUGCUGACGACGUUAACAAUAUUUUAAAAAAAAAAAUCUUUUUUUUUUGUAACUAUUAUUUUUUUUACCUUUUUAUUUUAAAAACAUAAUAUAACUUGACAAUAUUUUGUUUCCUUUUUUAGAAGAUAUCGAAUUUGAAAUAAUGAAAUCCUAUUGGUUGGAACCUAGAGGUUCACCUUAGGGGGUAAACCCAAGAAUUACUCUUUAGUUUAUAUAUUUUUUACUCUAUUUUCUAGUUUUUUUUAAAAAAAAUUCAGAUCUGAAAUCAAACCUUUAGUUUAUCAGUGUAAUAUCGAAAUAGAACAUGAGCUACGCGUUUAAAAAAAAUGAGGUGAACAAGAGUUUUGAUGAUAUUAUUAACCAAUAAUCAAUAAUCCAAAGUUUUGAGUAAGACAAGUAGUAGAUAAACCUUUUUCGGUAAUUCAGGAAUAUAAUAUUUGCAUAGCAAAUUUUCAUAAUAUAUAAACGCAAACACAUAAAUAAAUUCAGUAACAAAAAAAAACAUAAAUAAAUUUGUGUUUAAAACAAAACGAGACUUACCUGUAGUAAAGCUCACCGACUGUAGAACCAGCUUGAACCCAAACACUAUUGUCUUCAAUAUCAACAUUGAUCUGUCUCAGUUUCGACAGAUCAAUAAUUAUAAACGGUGUUUCUAUAUAUGAAACAUAGGACAAGCCUUCAAAAUCGUGACCGCCGCUUCUAACGCGGUGAUGAAUUCCCAGUUUCUUUGAACAUAUGAUGGAAGCUUGGACGUGAGAUUCAUGAGCCGGUUUGAAUAUGAAAUCUGGUUUAGGCAUUGAUGUGGUCAAGUAUCGUUGAUUUUGAGCCGUCGAGUUAAGGACUUCAAUGAACAUCGAGGCGUUCCUAUCAGGAGUGAAGAAUGUUUUGUCCAGUAGAAAAUCGACAUUUGUGUUUUGGUGGAGACAAUUGAUGAAGUCAUCUUGUAAGGAGUUUGAAGAAGUUGAUGCUACUGUGUAGAAAGAAAAAUAUAGGGCUAAAAACGAUAUAUAAGAAACUGCAGGGGCUAAUUUUGAAACUCUCAUCCCUGCAACUAAAAGCAGAAUCUGCGAGGACAAGAUGGAAUAUGUUAUGAGUGUUCUUUCGUCAGGGAAGAAAUUUAUAUGAAAGAUUGUGAUCAAAUUGUGUGAUUAUUUUUAUCAAAAAAAAUUGUGUAAUUAUUUCAAAAUUCAAAUUCAAUGGUUAUGUCUACAUCGAGUACGACUAUUUUGUCACAUGAUGUGACAAAAAAAACACUAAGUUCAGUAAUAUCUUAACAACGUGACAACAGGCGUGACAAUCAAACGACCCACUUUUGCAUAACUUUGUUAACUCGCGUUGUAAAGUUCGAAGGGAAGUUGAAGAAAUUGGCAUUAUUGUGUAUACAAAAGAAAAUACAGACUUAAGAACAGAAUACAAGAAAAUGCAUGGAGUGGUUCUGAAAUUCCCAUCCCUGCAGCCUACUACUAGAAAAAGGCCAAAAAAACACAAUUAGGCUUCAAGAUGGAAAUGAAUGUCAGUUUUUUUUUGUCAAUGAAAAAAAUUGUUCAUAUUUACACUUCAUUACAAGUCCCGGCUCAAACUUUCUAAUGGUCCGGUGGAAAAAAAAAAUUUCCAGUAAUUGUUAAAAAUUUUGGGCUCUUUUUUCUGAAACUAGGGUCCCAAAACCAACUAAAUUUUUUGAAAAAUUGUUGGACCUUGUGUUUUUGCUCCACCAGCACUACCCUAGAACCGGACCUAAUUACAACUAAAUCCAUUUAGCAUUGGUAAUUAUGUAACAAUAGUUUAAAUUUAACUUGUGAUCAGGAUAAAUCUCUUUUUGAGGGUCCCUGGAUAAUGCUUUUUUCAGCUUUUUAGUUGAAGUUAUAAUUAACAUAUUUACAAUAUUUGUAUAAAGUUAUUUUUAAUAAAUAUUGUUUUGAAAAUAUAUAAACUAAAUUUAGUUAAAAUACAUUUAUAUUUAAAUUUUGGUUUGUCAAAGUUAAUAUGAUUUUAUUCGUCAAAGCAAAUCAAUCAAACUUACACUUCUAUACAUAUACGAUCUAACGAAAACAAAUCGUUUUAAGUUGUUUUUUUAACACUGGGUAUUCAUUAGAGUAUGUAGGCAAAGAAAAUUAUAUAAGAACAUUAAAUCCACAAGAAAAAAACUGAUACCAGUCAAAGAGGAAGUAUACUUGAGAAUAAAGAAAAACAAUAGGAUGAGGUUUCCACAAAGAGGAUUCAAUUCACGGAAAAGAGAUAAGGAUGCCCAGAGGCUAGGCUACACUACGUUAGGUAAGGGUGGGCAGCUGCCCACCAUGGAAUUUUAAAGUCAAGUGUAUUUUUUGUACUGAUUAAAACAAUUUAUACUUUCUUAUAAAAAUUUGAGUAAAACAAUUUGGGUAAAACAAUUUAUAUUUUUUGUACUGGUUAAAACAAUUUAUAUUUUUUGUACUGAAUUUGUGAUUUGAGUAAAAUUUGAUUAAAACAAUUUAUAUUUUUUAUAUUAAUACUAACAGCAGAGUAAAACAAUUUAUAUUUUCUUAUAAAAAUUUAAUUGUGAAAAUAUUUGAUUUUAAGUAAUAAAAUAAAAAGUCAAAGUAAUACUCUCUCUGUUCCUGAAAUUAUGAUUUUCUAGAUUUAUUUUUUGUUUCAAAAUGAUAGAUUUUCUAAAAUUUUAAGGUACUUUUAGUAGUUUUUUUUUUUUUUGUUUUUUUUUUGUAACACAUAAUUCAUUAAACUUAAAUCAGUUAGUUGGGGCCAUAAGUGUUCCCUCAACUACAAUUGUUUCAGCUGCUAAUAAAGCAGACUUUGCUAGCAUAUCAGCCUGACCAUUUCUCUCCCGAGAAAUCCAGACAAAGGAGACAAAAUCGAAAAUAGACGCAAAAGAUAUAAUAUCAGCAAGAAUUCCAUAGAGCUCAGGUAUGCAGCUUCCAGAGUUUAAAGCAUCUAUUAGUUGGGACGAGUCCGCCUCGAAACAAACCACCUUCAGCUCUUCUCUAGUUCCCGCUUUGACAGCUUCGAGCAGAGCUAAAGCUUCCGCCAUUGGAGCUGAAGUCACUUGAGAGGUACUACACUUGAACGUCCUAAUACCUGAAGGGGAGUGGAUAACCCAGCCUAAGCCCGCCGCUGUGCCUCGAGGGUUCCAGGCUGCAUCGGAUCUGAUGGUCACAGCACCAGGUGGGAGGUGGGCUUCUGGCAUCUUUCUUCGGGGGUGAGAAGGCUUCUGCUCCUGUCGCUGCUGUGAGUCCCAUUCUUUUGCUAAAGAUAUUGCUGUUGAUAGGGUGUCCUCUGGCGAUCCCGAAUGGCCUUCAAAGACAAAUUUGUUGCGCGCUUUCCACAAGUGCCAGAGGAUCCACAGAGCAAGUGUAUCAGAGACUACCCCCGAGGGGGGGAGACAAGUUUUGGAGCAGAUAGCCGCCCAAUUUGCUGCCAAAUCUACCAUUCCGCUGCUCUCCACCUCGGCCUUGAAAGGCGCAAGACUCCACACCUUUUGGGCAUAUGGACAGUGAAAAAACAGAUGAAUUAUAGAUUCGGAGCCUCCACAGCGCUUACAUCGCGGGUCUAGCGGCACAUGACGCUCAACUAGUCGUUCGCCCACAGGAAGAGCACCUUUUAGCAGCUUCCAAGAGAAGAGCUUAACUUUUGGAGCUACAUCGAGUCUCCAGAUGCUCUUAUUCCAGUUGAUAGAAUCUUCUGCUACAAGUGCAUUUCCAGCCUCAAGAAUGUCUACUUCAGAGAAAUAACCUGACUUGACCGAGUACUCUCCUGUCUUCGUUCCCAGCCAAAUAAGUUUAUCCGGAACCCCGGUUUGACUUGUCCUUAUCCUCUGUAUCUUUUCCUCAUACCCAGGGAGGUAGAAUUGAAUUUUUUGGAGGUCCCAGUCACAUGAUUCAGCCUGGAACAGGUCUGAAACCUUGAGCUCCAAGAGAGAUUCACAUACUGGUCCCAUUGGGCUUUCUUUGUGGCAGGGGUUUAGCCAUGGGUCUCUCCAAACCGAGAUAGACUGGCCAUUGCCUACUAGCCAUCCCAUGUUCUUAAGCAACAGGUCCCUCCCCUUCAAAAUACUUCGCCAUCCAUGCGACAUAGCUGAGGUUUCAGAGGCGAGAAGGAUGUUAUUUUCAGGGCAAUAUUUUCCGAAGAGCACUCUACCAAGCAGGCAGUUGGGAUUUUGUAACAAGCGCCAGCCUACUUUUGCUAGUAAUGCAACAUUAUAGCUUUGAAAAUCCCGGAAGCCCAAGCCUCCUGCUGCUUUCGGUUUAGCCAUCGAGUCCCAUGAAAUCCAUGCUAUCUUCCGGGUGCUUUCGUUGUUAUCCCACCAGUACCUCGUCACUGCAGACUGCAGACGAUUGCAGAGCGAGACUGGCAGUUCAAAGUACGACAUGGAGUAGGAAGGAACCGCUGUUAGCACACUUUGGAUCAUGACCAAUUUCCCUGUUGAAGAUAAGUACUUAUUGGACCAGCUGCGAGCCUUUUGCUUGACCCGAUCGACGAUCGAGGCAAACACAUCUUUCUUUCUUCGGCCAAACUGUUCGGGUAAGCCCAAAUAUUUCCCGGUCCCUCCUUCCUUGGUGAUUUGGAGUUCGCCUUUGAUCAGGGUCUUGAGUGCCGCUGGGGUUUUCCGCGCAAAGGUAAUGGCUGAUUUAUCCUUAUUGAUCGACUGCCCCGAAGCUGCUUCAUAUUGCUGUAAAAUGCUCUUGAGAGCUGUACAGUUUCCACUACUUGCUUCUAGGAAGAACAUAGUGUCGUCAGCAAAAAGAAGGUGGUUUAUCCGGGGGCUAGCCCUCGCCACCUGCAAUCCCUUGAGAGAGCCAUCUUCUUGCGCUCUGUUACAUAGUCCCGAGAGGACCUCACUACACAUGAUAAAGAUGUAGGGAGAAAGAGGGUCUCCUUGACGGAUACCUCUACUCGGUACUACCUUCCCUCUAGGCAAGCCGUUAAUGAGGAAGGAGUAUGUAACUGAGGAGAUACACUGCAUUACACAGUUAACGAGCCUUUGGUGGAAUCCCAACCGAAGCAUCACGAGCGAAAUAAAUUCCCAUUCCAACCUGUCAUAGGCCUUGCUCAUGUCAGUCUUGACGGCCAUGGCACAUCUCUGUUCCGCUUUCGACGUCUUGAGAUAGUGGAGAACCUCAUGUGUAAUUAAAACGUUGUCGCCAAUAGCACGUCCCGGGACAAAAGCCGACUGAUUCUCCGAGAUGAGUGAGUCCAUCAAUGGCUGAAGUCUCCGGGUAAGAAUCUUGGAAUAGAUCUUGUAGUACACAUUGCACAAUGCAAUAGGCCGGUAAUCUGAGACUUUUUGCGGGUUUGUGAUCUUUGGAAUGAGACGGAUGUGAGUGUCGUUGAUGCUCUCGGGGAGUUCUCCCCCGGCGAAAAAGCCUUGCACUUCUCUAACAAUGUCCGGUCCAACAUCAUCCCAAUGAGUGUGGAAAAAUCCAGCUGAGAAACCAUCCGGGCCCGGGGCUUUUUCGGCAUUGAUUGAAAAUGCUGCCUCACGAAUCUCCUCAGCAGCUGGAAUGGCAAUGAGCCUGGAAUUUGCAUCGUCUGUGACUAUCCUCUGCAGUGCCCGGCUUACUGUGUCUGUCCUCUCACCCGGAGAAGAGGCAAAUAGACUCUCGAAGUAAGACCCUAUCGUCUCUACAAUUUCUUCCUCAGUGUGAACCAUUUGUCCAUCUUCCUUUUCUAGUACCGAGAAUGAGUUUGCUCUUUUCCGGUUCUUUGUAGUGGCAUGAAAGAAACCCGUAUUGCGAUCUCCGAGCUUGAGCCACAGCAGUCUACUGCGUUGCUUCCAAAAAGCUUCUUCCGCUAGGUAGGCCGCAUUUAGCUUAGACGAAAUAUCCUGGAUCAAGACAGUGUCGUUGACCGGACUAGCCAGUGCUGCAUUCAGUUCCCGUUUCUUUUGUUCAAUCACCUCUUGGCUGUUCCUCUGCUGAGCCCGGCUCCAAGCAGAUAUAGCACUCCGUGCUGACGAUAGCUUUUCAAAGACAGAAAGGUUUCCGGAAUCCUGCCAAGCCUCAGAUAUGACUUUCUUGGCUGCCUCAUCUUUGCAUAGCCGGCGAUCAUAUCUAAACAGUCCCCUCCGUCUUCUUGCUCCAUUGUCAAAGACGGUUAUUAGCGGUUUAUGAUCUGAAGUCAAAUCCGCCUCUAGAUAUUGACAUCUGGCCUUGGAGAAUCGUUCGGCCCAAAGAGAAUUAGCGAUAGUUCUGUCCAAUCUGCAUCUGACCAGGUGAUCUCCUCUCUUUCCUCGCCAAGAUAGUGGAUCGCCCGAGUGCUGCAGAUCGAACAGGUCUCCCUCCGAAAAGAAAGUACGGAGAUCAGUAAAGGACCCUUCUGGUCGCUCCGUCCCUCCUUCCUUUUCGUCGUUACUCAAUAUGUCGUUGAGAUCACCUGUAACCAGCCAAGCCUCUUCUCGGAUAAGCGACUUUGUUACAAGUUGAUCCCACAGCAAAUUCCUCUGGCUUCUAUCCGUGCUAGCAUGUACAAAUGAAGCAUAAAAUUUCUUUCCUUCAAACUCGACAUGUGUGUCAAUUACAUUUGCACUGGAUUCUAAAAUUUGAAUGUUUAUUCCCUGUUUCCAGAGCAGAACGAGCCCCCCAGCACCGUGCCCGGUUGGUGCAACGAGGUGGUAAUUGUCAUAUCUCAAGUGCUCCAGCUUUUUGAGCACCACGCUGUCGGGAUUUUUUGAUUCCAUUAGGAAGAUGAUAUCCGGAUUAAACUUUUUUGAUACCUCUCCCAAUCUACGAACUGUCCGGGGAUUCCCCAACCCCUGACAGUUCCAGCUCGUUAUUGUUAAGGAGCGAGGUGGGAUGGAGCCCGAAAAUCCAUCCUACGUCUGGCCGACGGUGGUAUCAAGUUAACUAUCGGAAUGUUGUCAGUAGACGAAGGAGUGUCCUGCUGUGAGGCUCUAGUGUGGCUUGCUCGAGCCGCUUUCCUUGGUCUCUCUGAUUCUCCAGUAACUCUCCUCCGGGAGGUGGUGGGCUUAGGAGUGACCUUCCUUUUGCGCAAACCCGAUCCCGGUGCCAGAGCAGGGCUAGCAAUCUUUUUGCCGCCUGGUGGCCUACCAGGUUUCCUUUUUUGCUUCCGAGGUUCCUCCCGCGUCGGAGGGAGAUCAAUGUUGCUUGUUCCCUCGAGAGUUGGUCCAAGCCUAGCUGCCAUUGGCAGCCUCUCAGUGUGACCUCCUUCAGAUUGGAUAUUUGUAACUACUUGUUCCUCCUGAGCUUGACCUAUUGGACCUAGCCGUGCUGUUGCAGGUAAGCGUUCAUUGGAACUUGGUUCCUGAGAAGUUCUAGCUGUAGUUCCUUCAUUCUCCCGAGCCAUAGAGGCUUUAACCAUCUGCAUCGCAGAUUCUUCAACUUGGCCUCGCUCCUCUGCUUGCCUUAAUCUUUCCUUACGAGCUGCACUCUCCAUCGGGUCUGCACAACUUGCAUAUUGUGUCAUAUAAUUCCUUAUUUCUCCCAUUGCAGCAUCCACUGCUUCUUUGGGUAGGUUUUCAUUUUCCUUUCGGAGGGGAAUCCCCCUAUCUAACUGAUGAGACCCGUUUCUUGGUGAAGCUGGCGUAGAUUGUCUUGGGGUUAUGUAAGUAGCUGGAGAGAGUCGCUCCUCAUCUCUAGCCCGGUGCUCUUCAUUAUAUCUAGACUUGUGGGAGUGGUCUGAUUGGGAAUCCCCAAUAACUGUAUCUAACUGUUUACGAGACUCUGUUUUGUUGAGGAGACUUCGCAGGUCUUCCUUCCGAGCUGUGGAAUCCCUUACAAAGCUAUCUUUUGGUCUCCAGGAUCUUUUCUGAUACUCACCUCCCUCACGGGGAGGGUCACGGGAUCUGUAUCUGGUAGACAUGGCUCCAUGUGUUGGGUUGUGAGAGGAGUAUCGGGUUGAGCUUCUACUCUGAAGGGACCGACUAUAGUCCAGUCUACGAGGGGCAUGUUCCCACCUUUUAUCAGUGGAGGGAUUGGGCUCACGAAUUCCACUCCUAGGCACCAAGUGUUGAGCUUCCUUGUUCUUUGGCUCAUCGGUUUGAUUCGCAAGUAGAGCUCUCUUUAGUGCCUUAGCUUCCAGACAAUCACGGAGCUCAUGGUCCAAUCUUCCACAUUGCGAGCAGUGUCUCUCCAGUCUCUCAUAGACUAGGACUGCAGCAACUUCAUCACCAUUCGGAUACUCUAGGAUGGAUUUUUUGAUGAGGGGAAGUCUCCCAUUGACAUGGACUCGCAUGCGGAUGGAGGUAGAAGUGAUCUCUGCAAUUUCGAACGUUCCAAUGUCUUUUCCAAUGCUGCGGAUGGUUUCUUCUGUCCAUAGGUGGAUCGGAACUCCGUGGAUUUUGAUCCAGAACGGAAUCAUUGAUGGAAACUCCGGUGAGCAGGUUGGUUCCCACCUUUGUAGGAUAAUCAUCCACCUAGCAAAGUGGUAUGGUUGCUUUUCCAGGACCGUAAGAAGAUCCGACUCGAGUUCAAAUUGGAAUUGGAACAUUCCCAAGCCAAGGUCAGAACCCGUCGGGGGAAUAUCCGCUUUCCAGUGCUCUGUAAAAAACGGGAGAAGCGACCACACCUUCUGGACAGAUGGGUUUGUGACUCUACCAAUAAUGGUUAGAGAAUGCUUCUGCUUCAACGCAGUGAUGUCAGGUUCCAUAACCCUGACUCUAGCUUUUCGAGGGGCAGGGAGGUGCUCUAGCGCAACGGCUUUCCCCUUUUCAGAGGAUGAGAGGCGUCUCUGCAUCAGGAAGCUUUAGGUACAACUCCGAUGUUGUGAGGUUGUCAGCGAGUAUCUCAAAGGAAGAAGAGGUAACCGUCACGAAGUUGGAUUGUAGCAAGAGGUGAAGUGAAGGAGCGGUAUUUAAUGCUGAAAAAUUAAUUAUUUUUUUAGGAUGCGUGAAUACUAUAGAAAAUCAUUUUUUUCAGGAAGAGAAAGAGUAGUAAACAGUGAAAAUAAAUGCUGAAUUAGGUGAGCAAAAUCUAUUUUUUUUUGAACGACUACUUCAUUAAAAAGAAAGGAGAUUACACAUAGAUUGUUUCAACUAAUACUCUCUUAGCAAGAGCAUCAGCGGCCAUAUUGUCUUUGCGAGAAAUAAAAAUGAAGGAGGAAACAGAGAGGUAACAAGACAAAUUUAGGAUAUCCUGUAGGAUUCCGCAAAGUUCCUUGAUUGGGUCUCUCCUAUUGAUAGCUCUGAUGAUGAUCUGAGCGUCUGAUUUGAUGCAUAGUUUGUUGAAGCCAAGAGCUUGCGCAUGGAGUAAGGCUUCUCUUAACGCCAUGCCCUCUGCCACUAAGGGGGAGGGGACGUAGAGUUCGAGCGAGGUUCCCCGUGCCAGUAUCCUGCCUGUGUUAUCCGAGAACAGCCAAGCCAACCCCGCUUUCUGUUCUGAUUCCUUCCAAGCUGCAUCUGUGUUCACCGUGAUGAUAUCUGGGUUCAUUUGGGGAGGAGGCCUUUGGACAAUUGUGUUCUGCUCAGUGGCCAGACCAGUGAUAGACUGUUCCUGAGCUGUUUGCCAUUCCAGUGCGUCCGCAAUCGCUUUCGAGAGGACCUCCUUCGCCUCAAAACACCUGUUCUGAAAUAUCUUAUGGUUUCUAGCAAUCCAUAGGUUCCAGCAUAUCCAUGGAAAGAGAGACCCCAUUCUCAUUCCUAUGGGAGGAAGGUUUCGGGCCUUCUUUGAGUCUUUGAGGGCUCUUUGGAAAUCUGCAGAAUCAAUUAUGUUCAUCACAUUAUGGAUCGGGGUUUGGUUCCAAAUCUGUCUCGCAAAAGGACAUGUCAAGAACAGAUGGUUCGCCGUCUCUCGAUCUCCACAAUGAGUGCAAGCGAGGCACGUUGCUGGGAUACCUCUUGAAGCUAGCGUAUCUCCCAACGGUAGCGCACGCUGUACUAUCUUCCAUAGGAAAACUUUUAUCUUGGGUGGGAUGGGGAGCAACCAAAUGUCUGCCAUCCAGUCACAUAUCAUCGGUUGAGGGGGUGGACUCUGUUCGGGCUGUAACUGCUUCAGGGCUGUAUGAUAACCUGUCUUUGUAGAGUAUUCACCACUUUUAGUCGCUAACCAGCAAUGCUUAUCUUGGCCUCCUGUUCUACUUGGUUUAAGGAGAAGGAUUUUAUGAGCUUCAUGGGGAAGCAGCAAAUCCACUUUAUCUCGGUCCCAAGCUCCUGUUGGUUGAGUUAACAAGUGUGAAACUGUUAGGUCCUUUGAAGAGAGGUUCGGCGGGCCAAUCGGUCUAGUUGGUACAUCCAGUGAAAUCCACGGUUCUUCCCAAAUCUUUGUACUCUCUCCAUUUCCUAUGGUUUUACCCAUGUUCUGCAGUAAGAGAUCUCUUCCGCAUAGGAUGCUUCUCCAUCCAUGUGAACAUGAGCUUGAAGCUGGUACAGCCAGGAACGAGGAAGUGGUACAAUAUUUUCCUGUCAUCACUUUGGCAAGUAGACAGUCUGGAUUGAUUAAAAUCCGCCACCCCUGCUUAGCUAGUAGGGCAUCAUUGAAAGCCUCAACGUCUCUCACUCCUAACCCUCCUUCCGAUUUUGGUUUUGCAACUCGCGACCAAGCGAUCCAGCACAUCUUCCGCGUCUCCGGGUUAUCAUCCCACCAGUAUCUCGUGAAGGCUGAUUGUAUCCUAUUGGUGAGACCUUUCGGCAGUUUAAAAGCCAUCAUAGAGAAAGAGGGAAUUGGUAGCAGGACUGACUGCAACAUGGUCAGUUUUCCUCCGGCCGAGAGCUUACGAGUACUCCAGCUUGCCGCUUUUUGUCGUAUACGAUCCACAAUCGAGGUGAAAAGAUCUCUCUUCCUCCUCCCAAAGUGCUCUGGCAAGCCUAGAUACUUUCCUACCCCCCCCUUCCUUAGCAAUACCCAGGCAUUCUUUAACCCUUUCUCUCACUUCAGCUGGCGCCUUUUUGGAGAAAGUGAUCGCAGAUUUCUCUGUGUUGAUCAUUUGACCAGAUGCAGCUUCAUAUUUCUUCAGGACUUCCUUUAGUGCAUUGACACUACUGAUGGUCGUUUUGGCAAAGAACAUCGUGUCAUCAGCGAAUAAUAAGUGAUUUAUUCUUGGACUAGCUCUUGCGACCCGAACCCCUGCCAGUGAACCUCUUCGCUGCGCCUCCAUGCAUAAACCCGAUAAAACCUCGCUACAAAGUAUGAAGAUGUAAGGGGACAGCGGGUCUCCCUGCCGGAUGCCUCGAGUUGGGUAUAUCAUUCCUUGGACCUCGCCGUUGAAUAAGACAGAGUAUGUCACUGUCGUGAUGCAACUCAUAAUCCAACCGCAGAAAACCUCAUGGAAUCCAAAUCUCCGGAGCACCGCCUCAAUAAAUUUCCACUCUAGCCUAUCAUAAGCCUUGCUCAUGUCUGUUUUCACAGCCAUAGAGCAAUGUUUUGUAGCUCCCGAUCUCUUGAGAAAAUGAAGAGUUUCGUGUGUUAUCAUUUUGUUGUCUGUAAUCACUCUGUUUGGCACAAAAGCAGAUUGAUUUUCGGAGAUGAUGGAGUCCAGUACCGGUUGCAGCCUUCUCGUGAUGAUUUUCGAAAUAAUCUUGUAAUAGACGUUAGUCAAAGCUAUCGGUCUAUAAUCUGCCACUGUCUUUGGUGCUGUGAUCUUUGGUAUUAGGCGCAGGUGAGUAUGGUUGAUGUUCUGUGGGAGAGUUCCAUGUCUGAACUCUAUAUAAUGUAUUUUUUUUGUUUAUUUGCGGGCGGGUUUACUCUAGUAGUUUUAUAUAGAAGAGUGAAUUGGUUCAAAAUACAUUAAAAAAUAUCUUAUGUUUACACAUAUGUGGUGGCAUAAAACAUAAACACUAACCACGUGUGUUACACAAGACGACUGGUAAAUAGUCCACUCGAACCAAACUUUAACAAAUUGAGAACGAGAACAAGCUUUCGAUUACGAUUCUAGUGUAGUAAAGUUGAUCAAGGAACUGGGAAUUAAUUAAAAACAACUUGUCUGACUCAUAAGAAGCAACGCUUCAAAUUUUAGGUAAAACAAAGUGCUACAUGCUUGCCUUAACUUUAUUAGAAGAAACAUUAUCUGAUUUCUUCUAGUUUAUUCUAAUUUGAUAUUCUUGAGCUUCAGUUUUGAACCAGCAUAGGUGGGAUACUCU